GGGGAUGUAGCUCAUCUGGUAGAGCGCGUGCUUAGCAUCCCGCUGACGAUCCGAUCUGAUCGUGAUCGUCGACACAUGUUCCUGCACGAGGUACUGGGUUCGACUCCCAGCUUCUCCA
Coniochaeta ligniaria NRRL 30616 is the source of this 118-nucleotide transfer RNA. It matches the Rfam family "tRNA". From Rfam's summary of the family: Transfer RNA (tRNA) molecules are approximately 80 nucleotides in length. The record is from Rfam. NCBI's taxonomy places the organism in Eukaryota, Fungi, Ascomycota, Sordariomycetes, Coniochaetales, Coniochaetaceae.